GGCUCAGUUGGUAGAACGUGGCGCUUGCAACGCCAGGGUUGUGGGUUCGAUUCCCAC
Molecule: transfer RNA, 57 nt
Filed under: Salmo salar (Atlantic salmon)
Lineage: Eukaryota; Metazoa; Chordata; Actinopteri; Salmoniformes; Salmonidae
Rfam family: tRNA
About the family: Transfer RNA (tRNA) molecules are approximately 80 nucleotides in length. Their secondary structure includes four short double-helical elements and three loops (D, anti-codon, and T loops).
Source: Rfam by way of RNAcentral